Hordeum vulgare subsp. vulgare (domesticated barley) is the source of this 89-nucleotide non-coding RNA. The record is from Rfam. NCBI's taxonomy places the organism in Eukaryota, Viridiplantae, Streptophyta, Magnoliopsida, Poales, Poaceae.
AAAGUACUCCCUCCGUCCGGAAAUACUUGUCCUAGAAAUGAAUGACAUUCAUUUCUAGGACAAGUAUUUCCGGACGGAGGGAGUAUAAU